Molecule: long non-coding RNA, 570 nt
Filed under: Marmota monax (woodchuck)
Lineage: Eukaryota; Metazoa; Chordata; Mammalia; Rodentia; Sciuridae
Source: RNAcentral
AUGUGCCAUCCUGCCCGGGCGUGGAUCCUGCGUUUCAGCCCAGCAGUCGGCCUGCAUCACAACCUCGCCCUGAUCCCUGGGCCGCCUCCCUGAUGGGUGUCUGUGUUCGGCUAACCCUUGUCUUACUCAGCAGGAGCCCUAGGACAGGAAGGGACAGAGGACUCUGUGGCAGUGCUGGGGGCAUGCGGGCGGAGCUUGGCAGGUACAGGGUUUGGCACCGUCUGGGGCUUUGGGCACUUGCUUGGGUUCUUGGAACACACUCCCUGCCGACAGAGGACUCCUCUGCCAAAAAAUCAGAACAGUGACCUCCACACGGUGGCUUGGCUGCUACUUGUCUCCAGAGAGUUGCUGGAAGGCCUGACGGUGUAUCUGUGUUCCCGACUCCACGUGUAGAUCACCCCCUGCAAGAGAUACAGCUGUUCUGGGACAUUAGUUUCUCCACAGACAGCACAUUCUGCCCACUGCCUGGCGGCUCCAGACCAGUGUCAGAGAACUGGGUUUUGGUAGCAGAGAUUGAACCCAGGGGCGCUUAACCACUGAGCCUCACCCCCAGCCCUUUUUAUGUUUUAU